RNAcentral lists this non-coding RNA (53 nucleotides) under Trypanosoma lewisi. The record is from RNAcentral. Lineage: Eukaryota; Euglenozoa; Kinetoplastea; Trypanosomatida; Trypanosomatidae.
AUAUAGAACAUGUGUAAGAUGUGGUGAGUUGAUUAGAGAUGAGAUAGAGUUGA